Molecule: ribosomal RNA, 415 nt
Filed under: uncultured bacterium
Lineage: Bacteria
Description: bacterial SSU rRNA
Rfam family: Bacterial small subunit ribosomal RNA
Source: RNAcentral
UGUGCGAAGAAGGCCUUCGGGUUGUAAAGCACUUUUGUCAGGGAAGAAAUCCUUUGGGCUAAUACCCUAGGGGGAUGACGGUACCUGAAGAAUAAGCACCGGCUAACUACGUGCCAGCAGCCGCGGUAAUACGUAGGGUGCAAGCGUUAAUCGGAAUUACUGGGCGUAAAUCGUGCGCAGGCGGUUGUGUAAGACAGGUGUGAAAUCUCCGGGCUUAACCUGGGAAUUGCAUUUGUGACUGCACGACUAGAGUGUGUCAGAGGGGGGUGGAAUUCCUCGUGUAGCAGUGAAAUGCGUAGAUAUGUGGAGGAACACCAAUGGCGAAGGCAGCCCCCUGGGAUAACACUGACGCUCAUGCACGAAAGCGUGGGGAGCAAACAGGAUUAGAUACCCUGGUAGUCCACGCCCUAAACGA